AAAGGUUGACCUCGGAUCA
This 19-nucleotide ribosomal RNA is filed under the name Colletotrichum fragariae. RNAcentral describes it as "partial 28S ribosomal RNA". RNAcentral also lists the same sequence under 1 other name. Lineage: Eukaryota; Fungi; Ascomycota; Sordariomycetes; Glomerellales; Glomerellaceae. The record is from RNAcentral.